GUGGGGAAUAUUGGACAAUGGGGGGAACCCUGAUCCAGCCAUGCCGCGUGUGUGAAGAAGGCCUUUUGGUUGUAAAGCACUUUAAGCGAGGAGGAGGCUACCGAGAUUAAUACUCUUGGAUAGUGGACGUUACUCGCAGAAUAAGCACCGGCUAACUCUGUGCCAGCAGCCGCGGUAAUACAGAGGGUGCAAGCGUUAAUCGGAUUUACUGGGCGUAAAGCGCGCGUAGGUGGCCAAUUAAGUCAAAUGUGAAAUCCCCGAGCUUAACUUGGGAAUUGCAUUCGAUACUGGUUGGCUAGAGUAUGGGAGAGGAUGGUAGAAUUCCAGGUGUAGCGGUGAAAUGCGUAGAGAUCUGGAGGAAUACGGAUGGCGAAGGCAGCCAUCUGGCCUAAUACUGACACUGAGGUGCGAAAGCAUGGGGAGCAAACAGGAUUAGAUACCCGGGUAGUCC
Molecule: ribosomal RNA, 451 nt
Filed under: uncultured bacterium
Lineage: Bacteria
Description: partial 16S ribosomal RNA
Rfam family: Bacterial small subunit ribosomal RNA
Source: RNAcentral